Molecule: ribosomal RNA, 2073 nt
Filed under: Murmidius sp. CO1013
Lineage: Eukaryota; Metazoa; Arthropoda; Insecta; Coleoptera; Cerylonidae
Description: eukaryotic LSU rRNA
Rfam family: Eukaryotic large subunit ribosomal RNA
Source: RNAcentral
GCCCAGCACCGAAUUCCACGGUCGGAUCGAUCGUCGGAAAAUGUGGUGUUAGGAAGCGUCCGCUAUUCCGGGGUUUUGCGACGAGUCCAAGUCCAUCUUGAACGGGGCCAUAACCCAUAGAGGGUGCCAGGCCCGUAGUGACCGUUGCUGACUUCGGAAGGACGUCUUCUGAGAGUCGGGUUGCUUGAGAGUGCAGCCCUAAGUGGGUGGUAAMCUCCAUCUAAGGCUAAAUAUAACCACGAGACCGAUAGCGAACAAGUACCGUGAGGGAAAGUUGAAAAGAACUUUGAAGAGAGAGUUCAAUAGUACGUGAAACCGUUCAGGGGUAAACCUGAGAAACCCGAAAGGUCGAAGGGGGAGAUUCAUUCGCGUCUCGCCUGCUGGCCUAGUGCCGCAGCGUGACGAGGGACGUCCGCGUCUCUCGCUCCGGCGGUGCCUGUGUCGGUGACGAACGCGUGCACUUCUCCCCUGGUAGGACGUCGCGAUUCGUUGGGUGUCGGUCUAAGGACCGCGGUGGAGCCCGCGCGCUCGCUUCGGCGCAGCGUGCGGACCCGCGGCUUCCCGAUCGGCUCGCUCGACGGUAUACUUGAGGCGCGAGGCCGCGACUUAGUUCGCGUCCGGCCCUCGGCAAGCGUGCCAACUGCGUUGGUGACCGGACCUGGUGCCGGUCCCGACCGUUGGUGGCUGUUCGCUGAGGUGUUCUCGGACAGACCUCGAUGAAACGCCGAUCUGCGACGCUAUAGCUUUGGGUACUUUCAGGACCCGUCUUGAAACACGGACCAAGGAGUCUAGCAUGUUCGCAAGUCAUUGGGACAUUACUAAACCUAAAGGCGAAAUUAAUGUGAAGGUCCGCCUUGCGCGGGCCGAGGGAAGAUGGGUGGUCGCCCUUAAAGUGGCCGCCCCGCACUCCCGGGGCGUCUCGUUCUCAUUACGAGAAGAGGCGCACCAAGAGCGUACACGCUGGGACCCGAAAGAUGGUGAACUAUGCCUGGUCAGGACGAAGUCAGGGGAAACCCUGAUGGAGGUCCGUAGCGAUUCUGACGUGCAAAUCGAUCGUCGGAACUGGGUAUAGGGGCGAAAGACUAAUCGAACCAUCUAGUAGCUGGUUCCCUCCGAAGUUUCCCUCAGGAUAGCUGGCGCUCGUUGCUCACGAGUCUCAUCCGGUAAAGCGAAUGAUUAGAGGCAUUGGGGUCGAAACGACCUCAACCUAUUCUCAAACUUUAAAUGGGUGAGAUCUCCGGCUUGCUCGAACAUGAAGCCGCGAGAUAAUUCUUUACGGAUCAGAGUGCCAAGUGGGCCAUUUUUGGUAAGCAGAACUGGCGCUGUGGGAUGAACCAAACGCCGAGUUAAAGCGCCUAAAUCGACGCUUAUGGGAUACCAUGAAAGGCGUUGGUAACUUAAGACAGCAGGACGGUGGCCAUGGAAGUCGGAAUCCGCCAAGGAGUGUGUAACAACUCACCUGCCGAAGUUACUAGCCCUGAAAAUGGAUGGCGCUGAAGCGUCGUGCUUAUACUCGGCCGUCAGAGGCAUGUGCGGCCGCCUCGAGCGGUCAUGAAGCCCUGACGAGUAGGAGGGUCGCGGCGGUGAGCGCAGAAGGGCUGGCCGUGAGGCCGUCUGGAGCCGCCGUCGGUGCAGAUCUUGGUGGUAGUAGCAAAUACUCCAGCGAGACCCUGGAGGACUGACGUGGAGAAGGGUUUCGUGUGAACAGCCGUUGCACACGAGUCAGUCGAUCCUAAGCCCUAGGCGAAAGCCGAUGUUGAUGUGGUGUAAGUUCAUUGCUAGUGCACACACCCGUCGGGCGAAAGGGAAUCCGGUUCCUAUUCCGGAACCCGGCAGCGGAACCGUCAAAAAGUCGGGCCCUCGUAUGAGAGUUCGUCGGGGUAACCCAAAAGGACCCGGAGACGCCGUCGGGAGAUCCGGGAAGAGUUUUCUUUUCUGCAUGAGCGUCCAAGUUCCAUGGAAUCCUCUAGCAGGGAGAUAUGGUUAGGGGCGCGAAGAGCACCGCAGUUGCGGCGGUGUCCGGAUCUUCCCCUCGGACCUUGAAAAUCCGGGAGAGGGCCACGUGGAGGCGUC